This 427-nucleotide ribosomal RNA is filed under the name uncultured bacterium. RNAcentral's name for it is "partial 16S ribosomal RNA". It matches the Rfam family "Bacterial small subunit ribosomal RNA", at positions 355 to 774 of the family's 1533-position model. The record is from RNAcentral.
UGGGGAAUAUUGCACAAUGGGCGCAAGCCUGAUGCAGCCAUGCCGCGUGUAUGAAGAAGGCCUUCGGGUUGUAAAGUACUUUCAGCGGGGAGGAAGGUGUUGUGGUUAAUAACCGCAGCAAUUGACGUUACCCGCAGAAGAAGCACCGGCUAACUCCGUGCCAGCAGCCGCGGAAAUACGGAGGGGGCAAGCGGUAAUCGGACUUACUGGGCGUAAAGCGCACGCAGGCGGUCUGUCAAGUCGGAUGUGAAAUCCCCGGGCUCAACCUGGGAACUGCAUUCGAAACUGGCAGGCUAGAGUCUUGUAGAGGGGGGUAGAAUUCCAGGUGUAGCGGUGAAAUGCGUAGAGAUCUGGAGGAAUACCGGUGGCGAAGGCGGCCCCCUGGACAAAGACUGACGCUCAGGUGCGAAAGCGUGGGGAGCAAACA